This 2658-nucleotide long non-coding RNA is filed under the name Canis lupus familiaris (dog). RNAcentral describes it as "lncRNA (ENSCAFG00000059021.1)". The record is from RNAcentral. Lineage: Eukaryota; Metazoa; Chordata; Mammalia; Carnivora; Canidae.
CAGGAAGCCAGGGUUUCAGCCGACAAGGGAGUGGGGUGAGGUGAGGUGGCCUCUCCUGCUCUAAUUCCCAGUCUCAGUGUAUUUAAGUAAGUGUCUGCAAAGACAACAAUGCAUAAAUUAUGAGUACUCGAAGGCAGUUCCUGCGAAAGGAAGAGAAUUUAUAAAUGUUGCAGCACUGUUUCCUUCUGAGGGGUACCCAGUGAGUCAAAGGUCACUGUGAUGUUUACCUCUCUCUGUCUCCUGCUGGGGGAAGGAAGGGGUGACUCCUGCGUCAUUUCUCAGCAUCUCAGCAACACCAGAGGGGAUAGGAGGUCCUUCACUCUUCUCCAGUCAAGCCAGGUGAGGAAAUCGGUGGUGAGUGUUGAAGUCAGGGCUAGAACCCGGAUCAUUUUCCUUCAAGUCAUGAAUUGUGCCUCCAAACCACACAGAAACACUUCACAGACCCCAAAGGAAACGAUGAGUAGCAGAACUGAUCAUGAGUCUCCUAAGAUUGGGAAGGAAAGGAUUGGAAUUCAUUCAAAAUGAGGGAACAAAAUCAUUGAAUGAAACCCACAUUGUAGAAUCUGAGGGUGGCUAUGAAAGACGAGAACCAAAAUAAAACUGAACAAAUGAGGAACAAUACCUGCAGUUAUUCACACUUCAGGAAUCCAGAAUUUAAUAACCACGAACAGAACCUCAAAAAACAGCAAGUUCCAGAAAUAAACUUACUUCAAUGAUCAAGAAUCUUCAUCAUUGGGUGAAAUGGACUAUCACCUGGGAAUAUCUCUGCAAAUGCUGAAGCUCUGAUGUCCAGCUUAGGAAAGAUGAACUUCAAAUGUGAGCAUUUAGUCAACUGGGUCUUUCUUUUUAAUCACCACUCAAAACGAAAACAAAAACCUCUUUUUUUAACUGUUGGCUAAAUAAAAAUAGUAAUAGAUAAAAUCUGUCCUGAGCAAACAGACCAUACAUCAAUAAACUAACACUUAAGUCUAAGCUAUUUUCCAUGAGACCCGUGAAGCAUUUCUAAUUGAAACUUAAUAAGCUACAGUGCAGCAAAUACUGUAGUCUUCAGCUCUAGAAGGGAAAUGUGAUCCAGUAUGCAGACAUAGGAGCUUUUUAAUUUAGCUGGAAGCAAGUGUGCCCGUGUAGUUGUGUGGCAUAAUUUUUUUAAUUGCUGAAGUGUCACUGUUUGCUAUUUCACAUUUAUUGAAAAAUGUAAAUGCCACAUGUAAGAGAAUAGCAAUAUGUCUUGUUUCAGUCUGAUGGCUUAAUCUGACUAAUCAUGAUAAUAUAUGCUAGCUGGAGUUGGGAAUAUUUAAUAAAAUACUGAAAUACAUUUGUUGUGCUUACAUUUAAAAUAAAUCAAUAAAAACACCUGCGCCUGCAACAUUUAAACCUUUAUUGCUUUUACGUAAGAAACAGCACAAGGAUGAUCCUUUGACAAGAACAGAUGUACCUCGGUGAGGAUCUUCAUCACUUGGCACAAGGGGGCAGGUGUGCCAAGAGUGAGGCACGUGGUACCAGAGAGGGAGGGAAGGAUACUAGCAAGAUCUUACAUUUGUCUGUGCUUUCCAGGACUGAGUCAUCUGUGCGCACAUUUUUACAUUUGCAUUUCAUGGGCCUCUGAGAUGGCAGGGUGGACAUGGCCACCUGCAUUUUACAGAUGAGAUUCCUAAGGCUGGGGAAGAUACUGUUCCACUCCAGCCCACAAAGGUGAGGCCCAUGCUGUCCGCUCCCCCCCCCCCCCCGCCCCCCGCCCCCAAUGUACAUCAGUUACUCAUAGUCUACACACACCCUCAAACAGAUACGGUGUCUCUCUGCAACUUCUGUUUAAAGGGUUCUCUGACAUCAUGAAUCCCUUUUGUUGUAGUGAGUGGGAGUGGUUGCUUAGUCUAAAUCCUUCUACCCCUUUCCCUUCUUAGCACAGGUGGCAGUGGUGGGACCCGGGGACCUCGAGCUCCGGCACAGCUGCGAACGCAGCGUGGCACAGAUAAGUUAGUUGCUAAGUCAGAGCUCAAGGCUAAAACGUGAUUACUCAUACAACAGAUGCAAAAGGAUAAAAAAAGGUGAAUGACAGUUUUUCAAAGUUGAAACCUUGGUACUUUGGUUUUUGUGUGUGUGCUUUUUUAAAAACACAUUAUUUUUUUAAUAAGAAAUUCAAAAACCGUCCUGACAUGAAACGUCACCUUCCCCUUCCUCUGGGCCAUGGGCAAGUAAUUCUGCAAGGCCUAACUCAAGAACAAAUACUAGUUUGAAGUGGUUAGAAGGGAUCCCUGGGUGGCGCAGCGGUUUGGCGCCUGCCUUUGGCCCAGGGCGCGAUCCUGGAGACCCGGGAUCGAAUCCCACAUCGGGCUCCCGGUGCAUGGAGCCUGCUUCUCCCUCUGCCUGUGUCUCUGCCUCUCUCUCUCUGUGACUAUCAUAAACAUUAAAAAAAAAAAAAAAAGAUAAAAAAAAGAAGAAGGUAACAGUAUGAGGGAUUGUAAAGCAAAGUGUCAAGGCCCCCCAAGCUCCUUGUUCUUCCUUGAAGGCUUUCCGGCCUGGGGCCUGGGGCCGGACCACCCACCCCUUCUCCAGCAGGCGGCUCCCCGGGGGGAGCAUCUUACCUAGAGCCCCCCGGGGGACCCAAGACCCCCCCCCCCUCCCUCCGCCCCCCGCUCCCCGGGCUCUCCCUCCCCACCU